GACGAACGCUGGCGGCGUGCUUAACACAUGCAAGUCGAACGGUGAAGCGAGUGCUUGCACUCGUGGAUCAGUGGCGAACGGGUGAGUAACACGUGAGUAACCUGCCCAUCACUCUGGGAUAAGCACUGGAAACGGUGUCUAAUACUGGAUACGACCAACCCUUGCAUGGGGUGUUGGUGGAAAGAUUUAUCGGUGUUGUAUGGACUCGCGGCCUAUCAGCUUGUUGGCGGAGUAAUGGCCCACCAAGGCGACGACGGGUAGCCGGCCUGAGAGGGUGACCGGCCACACUGGGACUGAGAAACGGCCCAGACUCCUACGGGAGGCAGCAGUGGGGAAUAUUGCACAAUGGGCGAAAGCCUGAUGCAGAGACGCCGCGUGAGGGAUGACGGCCUUCGGGUUGUAAACCUCUUUCAGCAGGGAAGAAGCGAAAGUGACGGUACCUGCAGAAGAAGCACCGGCUAACUACGUG
RNAcentral lists this ribosomal RNA (469 nucleotides) under uncultured bacterium. Its description in RNAcentral is "partial 16S ribosomal RNA". It matches the Rfam family "Bacterial small subunit ribosomal RNA", at positions 28 to 507 of the family's 1533-position model. The record is from RNAcentral.